GAUGAACGCUAGCUACAGGCUUAACACAUGCAAGUCGAGGGGCAGCAUGAAAGUUUGCUUGCAAACUUUUGAUGGCGACCGGCGCACGGGUGAGUAACACGUAUGCAACCUGCCCGCCACAGGGGGAUAAGCGGAAGAAAUUCCGUCUAAUACCGCGUGACGCGGCGCCGGGGCAUCCCGGUGCCGCCAAAGGGAUUACCGGUGGCGGAUGGGCAUGCGGCGCAUUAGCUAGUCGGCGGGGUAACGGCCCACCGAGGCGACGAUGCGUAGGGGUUCUGAGAGGAAGGUCCCCCACACUGGUACUGAGACACGGACCAG
This 318-nucleotide ribosomal RNA is filed under the name uncultured bacterium. RNAcentral's name for it is "bacterial SSU rRNA". It matches the Rfam family "Bacterial small subunit ribosomal RNA", at positions 28 to 334 of the family's 1533-position model. The record is from RNAcentral.